AGUGAACGCUGGCGGUAGGCCUAACACAUGCAAGUCGAACGGCAGCACAGUAAGAGCUUGCUCUUACGGGUGGCGAGUGGCGGACGGGUGAGGAAUACAUCGGAAUCUACUUUUUCGUGGGGGAUAACGUAGGGAAACUUACGCUAAUACCGCAUACGACCUACGGGUGAAAGCAGGGGAUCUUCGGACCUUGCGCGAUUGAAUGAGCCGAUGUCGGAUUAGCUAGUUGGCGGGGUAAAGGCCCACCAAGGCGACGAUCCGUAGCUGGUCUGAGAGGAUGAUCAGCCACACUGGAACUGAGACACGGUCCAGACUCCUACGGGAGGCAGUGGGGAAUAUUGGACAAUGGGCGCAAGCCUGAUCCAGCCAUACCGCGUGGGUGAAGAAGGCCUUCGGGUUGUAAAGCCCUUUUGUUGGGAAAGAAAAGCAGCAGGUUAAUACCCCGCUGUUCUGACGGUACCCAAAGAAUAAGCACCGGCUAACUUCGUG
Molecule: ribosomal RNA, 489 nt
Filed under: uncultured bacterium
Lineage: Bacteria
Description: partial 16S ribosomal RNA
Rfam family: Bacterial small subunit ribosomal RNA
Source: RNAcentral